RNAcentral lists this ribosomal RNA (468 nucleotides) under uncultured bacterium. RNAcentral's name for it is "partial 16S ribosomal RNA". The stretch from base 56 to 468 matches the Rfam family "Bacterial small subunit ribosomal RNA", at positions 37 to 507 of the family's 1533-position model. The record is from RNAcentral.
GGGGGGGGGGGGGGGGGGGGGGGGGGGGGGGGGGGCGGGCGGGGGGGGGCGGGGGUGGGGGGGUGCGCGGGGGGGGGGCGGGUGAGUGACACGUGGGUGACCUGCCGUUGGCCGUUGGGUUCCUUCCGGGGGCUGGGGCCACCACCGUCGCGGCGCUCCUGCUCCGUGGUGGGUGGUGGACAGUGUCGGCGGGUGGGGCUGGACUCGCGGCUUAUCAGUCGGUUGGUGGGGUAGUGGCUUACCAAGGCUUUGACGGGUAGCCGGCCUGAGAGGGUGACCGGCCACAUUGGGACUGAGAUACGGCCCAGACUCCUACGGGAGGCAGCAGUGGGGAAUAUUGCACAAUGGGCGGAAGCCUGAUGCAGCAACGCCGCGUGCGGGAUGACGGCCUUCGGGUUGUAAACCGCUUUCGCCUGUGACGAAGCGUGAGUGACGGUAAUGGGUAAAGAAGCACCGGCUAACUACGUG